Molecule: ribosomal RNA, 2037 nt
Filed under: Bordetella bronchiseptica
Lineage: Bacteria; Pseudomonadati; Pseudomonadota; Betaproteobacteria; Burkholderiales; Alcaligenaceae
Description: bacterial LSU rRNA
Rfam family: Bacterial large subunit ribosomal RNA
Source: RNAcentral
ACUGCAGGGGGUAGAGCACUGUUAUGGCUAGGGGGUCAUGGCGACUUACCAAACCAUGGCAAACUCCGAAUACCUGCAAGUACAGCUUGGGAGACAGAGCACCGGGUGCUAACGUCCGGACUCAAGAGGGAAACAACCCAGACCGCCAGCUAAGGUCCCGAAUUAUCGCUAAGUGGGAAACGAAGUGGGAAGGCAUAGACAGUCAGGAGGUUGGCUUAGAAGCAGCCACCCUUUAAAGAAAGCGUAAUAGCUCACUGAUCGAGUCGUCCUGCGCGGAAGAUGUAACGGGGCUAAGCGAUAAACCGAAGCUGCGGGUGUGCACUUUUAGUGCACGCGGUAGGAGAGCGUUCUGUAAGCCUGCGAAGGUGGCUUGUAAAGGCUGCUGGAGGUAUCAGAAGUGCGAAUGCUGACAUGAGUAGCGAUAAAGGGGGUGAAAAGCCCCCUCGCCGUAAGUCCAAGGUUUCCUGCGCAACGUUCAUCGGCGCAGGGUGAGUCGGCCCCUAAGGCGAGGCAGAGAUGCGUAGCUGAUGGGAAGCUGGUUAAUAUUCCAGCACCGUCGUACAGUGCGAUGGGGGACGGAUCGCGGAAGGUCAUCAGGGUGUUGGACGUCCCUGUUGCUGCAUUGAAGAUGGCGCUUAGGCAAAUCCGGGCGCGAGAAUCAAGGGUGUGGCACGAGCGAGCAAGUCUCGCGAAGUGAUUGGAAGUGGUUCCAAGAAAAGCCUCUAAGCUUCAGCUGUACGAGACCGUACCGCAAACCGACACAGGUGGACGGGAUGAAUAUUCCAAGGCGCUUGAGAGAACUCAGGAGAAGGAACUCGGCAAAUUGAUACCGUAACUUCGGGAGAAGGUAUACCCUGGUAGUGUGAAGCGCCUGCGCGCUGAGCAUGAAGGGGUCGCAGAGAAUCGGUGGCUGCGACUGUUUAUUAAAAACACAGCACUCUGCAAAGACGAAAGUCGACGUAUAGGGUGUGACGCCUGCCCGGUGCCGGAAGGUUAAGUGAUGGGGUGCAAGCUCUUGAUCGAAGCCCCGGUAAACGGCGGCCGUAACUAUAACGGUCCUAAGGUAGCGAAAUUCCUUGUCGGGUAAGUUCCGACCUGCACGAAUGGCGUAACGAUGGCCACACUGUCUCCUCCUGAGACUCAGCGAAGUUGAAGUGUUUGUGAUGAUGCAAUCUACCCGCGGCUAGACGGAAAGACCCCAUGAACCUUUACUGUAGCUUUGCAUUGGACUGUGAACCGGCCUGUGUAGGAUAGGUGGGAGGCGCAGAACUCGAGUCGCCAGAUUCGAGGGAGCCAUCCUUGAAAUACCACCCUGGUUUGUUUGCGGUUCUAACCUUGGUCCGUUAUCCGGAUCGGGGACAGUGCAUGGUAGGCAGUUUGACUGGGGCGGUCUCCUCCCAAAGCGUAACGGAGGAGUUCGAAGGUACGCUAGGUACGGUCGGAAAUCGUGCUGAUAGUGCAAUGGCAUAAGCGUGCUUGACUGUGAGACUGACAAGUCGAACAGGUGCGAAAGCAGGACAUAGUGAUCCGGUGGUUCUGAAUGGAAGGGCCAUCGCUCAACGGAUAAAAGGUACUCUGGGGAUAACAGGCUGAUACCGCCCAAGAGUUCAUAUCGACGGCGGUGUUUGGCACCUCGAUGUCGGCUCAUCUCAUCCUGGGGCUGUAGCCGGUCCCAAGGGUAUGGCUGUUCGCCAUUUAAAGAGGUACGUGAGCUGGGUUUAAAACGUCGUGAGACAGUUUGGUCCCUAUCUGCCGUGGGCGUUGGAUACUUGACGGAGCCUGCUCCUAGUACGAGAGGACCGGAGUGGACGUACCUCUGGUGUACCGGUUGUCAUGCCAAUGGCAUUGCCGGGUAGCUAAGUACGGAAGAGAUAACCGCUGAAGGCAUCUAAGCGGGAAACUCGUCUGAAGAUUAGGUAUCCCGGGGACUAGAUCCCCCUGAAGGGUCGUUCGAGACCAGGACGUUGAUAGGUCGGGUGUGGAAGCGCAGUAAUGCGUUAAGCUAACCGAUACUAAUUGCCCGUGAGGCUUGAUCCU